RNAcentral lists this ribosomal RNA (459 nucleotides) under uncultured bacterium. RNAcentral's name for it is "partial 16S ribosomal RNA". It matches the Rfam family "Bacterial small subunit ribosomal RNA", at positions 338 to 795 of the family's 1533-position model. The record is from RNAcentral.
CCUACGGGAGGCAGCAGUGAGGAAUAUUGGUCAAUGGGCGCGAGCCUGAACCAGCCAAGUCGCGUGAGGGAAGACGGUCCUAUGGAUUGUAAACUUCUUUUGUCCGGGAGCAAACGACGCCACGCGUGGCGUUCCGCAAGUACCCGCAGAAAAAGCAUCGGCUAAUUCCGUGCCAGCAGCCGCGGUAAUACGGAGGAUGCGAGCGUUAUCCGGAUUUAUUGGGGUUAAAGGGUGCGCAGGCGGAAGAUGAAGUUCUCGGGAAAAUUGGGAGGCUCAACCUGUUCGAGCCGUUGAAACUGGGUUUCUUGAGUGAGCGGGAGGUAGGCGGAAUGCGUGGUGUAGCGGUGAAAUGCAUAGAUAUCACGCAGAACUCCGAUUGCGAAGGCAGCAUACCGGCGCUCAACUGACGCUCAUGCACGAAAGUGUGGGUAUCGAACAGGAUUAGAUACCCGUGUAGUC